GAUGAACGCUGGCGGCGUGCCUAACACAUGCAAGUCGAGCGAUUUACUUCGGUAAAGAGCGGCGGACGGGUGAGUAACGCGUGGGUAACAUGCCCUGUACACACGGAUAACAUACCGAAAGGUAUGCUAAUACGAGAUAAUAUACUUUUAUCGCAUGGUAGAAGUAUCAAAGCUUUUGCGGUACAGGAUGGACCCGCGUCUGAUUAGCUAGUUGGUAAGGUAACGGCUUACCAAGGCGACGAUCAGUAGCCGACCUGAGAGGGUGAUCGGCCACAUUGGAACUGAGACACGGUCCAAACUCCUACGGGAGGCAGCAGUGGGGAAUAUUGCACAAUGGGCGAAAGCCUGAUGCAGCAACGCCGCGUGAGCGAUGAAGGCCUUCGGGUCGUAAAGCUCUGUCCUCAAGGAAGAUAAUGACGGUACUUGAGGAGGAAGCCCCGGCUAACUACGUGCCAGCCGCCGCGGUAA
RNAcentral lists this ribosomal RNA (468 nucleotides) under uncultured bacterium. RNAcentral's name for it is "partial 16S ribosomal RNA". It matches the Rfam family "Bacterial small subunit ribosomal RNA", at positions 28 to 523 of the family's 1533-position model. The record is from RNAcentral.